Molecule: ribosomal RNA, 955 nt
Filed under: Raffaelea subfusca
Lineage: Eukaryota; Fungi; Ascomycota; Sordariomycetes; Ophiostomatales; Ophiostomataceae
Description: SSU rRNA
Rfam family: Eukaryotic small subunit ribosomal RNA
Source: RNAcentral
UUAAAUCAGUUAUCGUCUAUUUGAUAGUACCUUACUACUUGGAUAACCGUGGUAAUUCUAGAGCUAAUACAUGCUGAAAACCCCGACUUCGGAAGGGAUGUAUUUAUUAGAUUAAAAACCAAUGCCCUUCGGGGCUCCCUGGUGAUUCAUGAUAACUUCUCGAAUCGCACGGCCUUGCGCCGGCGAUGGUUCAUUCAAAUUUCUGCCCUAUCAACUUUCGACGGCUGGGUCUUGGCCAGCCAUGGUGACAACGGGUAACGGAGGGUUAGGGCUCGACCCCGGAGAAGGAGCCUGAGAAACGGCUACUACAUCCAAGGAAGGCAGCAGGCGCGCAAAUUACCCAAUCCCGACACGGGGAGGUAGUGACAAUAAAUACUGAUACAGGGCUCUUUUGGGUCUUGUAAUUGGAAUGAGUACAAUUUAAUUCCCUUAACGAGGAACAAUUGGAGGGCAAGUCUGGUGCCAGCAGCCGCGGUAAUUCCAGCUCCAAUAGCGUAUAUUAAAGUUGUUGCAGUUAAAAAGCUCGUAGUUGAACCUUGGGCCUGGCUGGCCGGUCCGCCUCACCGCGUGCACUGGUCCGGCCGGGCCUUUCCCUCUGGGGAGCCGCAUGCCCUUCACUGGGCGUGUCGGGGAACCAGGACGUUUACUUUGAAAAAAUUAGAGUGUUCAAAGCAGGCUUAUGCUCGGAUACAUUAGCAUGGAAUAAUAGAAUAGGACGUGCGGUUCUAUUUUGUUGGUUUCUAGGACCGCCGUAAUGAUUAAUAGGGACAGUCGGGGGCAUCAGUAUUCAGUUGUCAGAGGUGAAAUUCUUGGAUUUACUGAAGACUAACUACUGCGAAAGCAUUUGCCAAGGAUGUUUUCAUUAAUCAGGAACGAAAGUUAGGGGAUCGAAGACGAUCAGAUACCGUCGUAGUCUUAACCAUAAACUAUGCCGACUAGGGAUCGGACGGUGUUA